Molecule: ribosomal RNA, 768 nt
Filed under: Bacillaceae bacterium fug-2-50-05
Lineage: Bacteria; Bacillati; Bacillota; Bacilli; Caryophanales; Bacillaceae
Description: bacterial SSU rRNA
Rfam family: Bacterial small subunit ribosomal RNA
Source: RNAcentral
GACGACCGCUGGCGGCGUGCCUAAUACAUGCAAGUCGAGCGGACGGAAGGGAGCUUGCUCCCGGUAAGUCAGCGGCGGACGGGUGAGUAACACGUGGGUAACCUGCCUGUAAGACUGGGAUAACUCCGGGAAACCGGGGCUAAUACCGGAUAGCUUCUUCCUCCGCAUGGAGGAAGAAUGAAAGGCGGCCUUUGGCUGUCACUUACAGAUGGACCCGCGGCGCAUUAGCUAGUUGGUGGGGUAACGGCUCACCAAGGCNACGAUGCGUAGCCGACCUGAGAGGGUGAUCGGCCACACUGGGACUGAGACACGGCCCAGACUCCUACGGGAGGCAGCAGUAGGGAAUCUUCCGCAAUGGACGAAAGUCUGACGGAGCAACGCCGCGUGAGUGAAGAAGGUUUUCGGAUCGUAAAGCUCUGUUGUCAGGGAAGAACAAGUACCGGAGUCACUGCCGGUACCUUGACGGUACCUGACCAGAAAGCCACGGCUAACUACGUGCCAGCAGCCGCGGUAAUACGUAGGUGGCAAGCGUUGUCCGGAAUUAUUGGGCGUAAAGCGCGCGCAGGCGGCCUUUUAAGUCUGAUGUGAAAGCCCACGGCUCAACCGUGGAGGGUCAUUGGAAACUGGAAGGCUUGAGUGCAGAAGAGGAGAGCGGAAUUCCACGUGUAGCGGUGAAUGCGUAGAGAUGUGGAGGAACACCAGUGGCGAAGGCGGCUCUCUGGUCUGUAACUGACGCUGAGGCGCGAAAGCGUGGGGAAGCGAACAGGC